This is an RNA transcript of Boleophthalmus pectinirostris (great blue-spotted mudskipper), 2688 nucleotides long. It is a transcript of the gene named serine/threonine kinase 11, with no coding region annotated. Lineage: Eukaryota; Metazoa; Chordata; Actinopteri; Gobiiformes; Gobiidae. The transcript is spliced from 11 exons. The record is from RefSeq and is a predicted model, not a curated record.
AGUAACGUAGAGGCUGUCAGUGAGUUGAAGGGGAGGUAAACAAGAUGGCGACAACCUGAGUAGCAGAGCAAAGCGAAGAUUCAACAUUAGUUAGCUUUCUCAGCACCAGCAAAACAUAUUUCACGGUGACUGACAUCAAAGCGAAAACCAUCAAAAGGUACACAUUAAAAAUGAAGCGGUGUGGUCUAAAUGGUCAGUGACCCACAGGAGCCGACCAGAUCCCUGUUGUAUUUUGUUUGGAUCCAGGAUAAUACAACACACUGAUGAAUCCUAAAAAAAGGUUUGCGAUGGAGCAUAAACUCAAAGAAUGCCGCAUGUGCUUAAAGCAGUGCUUUUUGUUUUUAUCAACAUCUGACUAGUAUUAGUGACCUACAAGUGGAAUUCCAAUACAUAGAGGUUAAGUUUAUCUGAUCAACCCAAUAAGGAUGCACGUCUGUUGAAUCUGUGCUGAGUGUGACAGGAUCUAACCUGUCGAUUCUUCUCAAGUUUAAAACUUGGCACACACGUUCAAAGAUCUUGUUUUUGCAUUCCAUAUUUUGGUUAAACUCUCCACAAUCAGAAAGAGUACAGCAUAUUUUUUACACAGAGGACUGAAUCAAGGAUAAUCCACCAUGAGCACCGGUGAUCUUCAUCAACUUGACUAUCUCAAUGAAAAUGAACUGAUGGAUACUUUUAUUCACCGUAUUGACUCAACUGAGGUGAUCUAUCAGCCACGCCGGAAGAGAGCUAAGCUAAUAGGAAAGUACCUUAUGGGGGACCUACUGGGUGAGGGAUCCUAUGGUAAAGUCAAAGAGAUGUUGGACUCAGAGACUCUCUGUCGUAGAGCUGUUAAGAUACUGAAGAAGAAGAAGCUGAGGAGAAUUCCUAAUGGAGAAGCUAAUGUCAAAAAGGAAAUUCAACUGCUACGAAGACUACAACACAAGAAUGUGAUUCAGUUAGUAGAUGUUCUCUACAAUGAAGAGAAGCAAAAAAUGUAUAUGGUGAUGGAGUACUGUGUAUGUGGGAUGCAGGAAAUGCUGGACAGUGUUCCAGAGAAAAGGUUUCCAGUAUUUCAAGCUCACGGGUACUUUUGCCAACUAAUAGAUGGCCUUGAAUAUUUGCACAGCCAGGGAAUAGUCCACAAAGACAUUAAACCGGGGAAUCUGCUGCUGACCACUGAUGGAACAUUAAAGAUCUCAGACCUUGGUGUAGCAGAGGCUCUUCAUCCAUUUGCUGACGAUGACACAUGUCGUACCAGCCAGGGCUCUCCGGCUUUCCAACCUCCAGAAAUUGCAAAUGGGCUGGAUACCUUUUCAGGCUUUAAAGUGGACAUUUGGUCUGCAGGAGUAACACUAUACAACAUUACAACAAGUCUUUAUCCAUUUGAGGGGGACAAUAUCUAUAAGCUAUUUGAAAAUAUCGGAAAGGGAGAUUACACUAUUCCUGAGGAGUGUGGACCUCUUUUGUCAGACCUGCUGCAAGGGAUGCUGGAGUAUGAUCCUGCCAAGAGGUUUUCUAUACAGAACAUAAGACAACACAACUGGGUGCGUAAGAAACACCCUCCAUCAGAGCGCCCGGUGCCAAUUCCAGCCAAUGCUGAGAGCAGAGACCCCUGGCGCAGUAUGACCGUGGUCCCCUAUCUGGAGGAUCUGCACGGCUACACGGAGGAGGAUGAUGAUGAACUCUACGAUGGAGAGGAUGAGAUCAUUUACACUCAGGACUUCACAGUACCAGGACAAGUGUCUGAUGAAGAUCUAGCAACUGCAGACAACAGUCCUGCUAUGGCUAAACCAGUUUGUGCAAAUGGAACAGAGGGGGUGUCUCUCAACAACAAAGCCAAAGCAGAAAGGCGAUCAUCCUCCUCAUCAAACCCCUCACGAAAAGGAGUUUCCACAGCCAGCAAGAUUCGCAAGCUCUCCACCUGCAAACAACAGUGACCCCCCCCCCCAACUCACUGGUGUGUGUUUGAGCUUUAAGCUGGGCUUACACUGUGUGAUAUUCAGGCUGAAUUUGAGAUGUUUUGGGGCAGCUCAAGUCGGGCCAAAUUUCAGCUGCUUACAAUGUCUGUCUGUCCUGGACUGGUCCAAGUUUGGAGAUAAAUCUGCUAAGACUGGUGUCCUUCUAGAAACUGGACUUCUAGUGUGCCGAGUUAUUUGAGUUAUGAAGGGACGCCAAAUUAGAAAAUUAAAUUAAUCAAAGAUCCCCUGGCUGUCAAGAUGGUGCUCCUUUUCUCCUUCAUCUCCAGAAAUACUCAUCUCCUCUGUCUCUUCCCAUCUUCAUCUUCAAAGUGUUGUACUGGACUCAAAGGAUCGCCUCUGUUCACUUUGGCCCACUAGUGUUUUAUUUUAUUACAUUUUGUUUUGACAGAACCCUAAUGACAGUUUUAAAAGCAUUGUGAUGUUGUAACAAUUAAAGAAAAAAUCUUAUCAUAUUCUGUAUUUAAAUCUUUGAGAACAUUUAUAAUAGUCCUUUUAACUCCCACCAACACAAACCUGCAUGCUGUAUUGAGCUGAAGAAAACAGAAAGCAGACUGAAAGACUGAAGCCUUGAACUCCACUGCUGGUCUGUUAGGGAUUUUAAGUAUUUUCUUUUUCAAAAAUAUUUUUUAAUUAUUAUUUAUAUGAAUGUCCUGAACAGGUCUUGUUGAAUGAUCCUAUUCAUUUAAGUUGAGUCUAUUUUUGUUAUGCAAUACAGUUCAGUUGUUAUGUA